AAGCUUAAUAAGGACGAAGAAGAGAGGUUACUAAAAG
RNAcentral lists this small RNA (37 nucleotides) under Arabidopsis thaliana (thale cress). RNAcentral's name for it is "ATSL290830". The record is from RNAcentral. Lineage: Eukaryota; Viridiplantae; Streptophyta; Magnoliopsida; Brassicales; Brassicaceae.